This is a non-coding RNA of Argiope bruennichi, 73 nucleotides long. Lineage: Eukaryota; Metazoa; Arthropoda; Arachnida; Araneae; Araneidae. The record is from the annotation of a RefSeq genome assembly.
GGUUCCGUAGUGUAGUGGUUAUCACGUUCGCUUUACACGCGAAAGGAUCCCGGCUCGAUCCCGGGCGGAACCA